RNAcentral lists this ribosomal RNA (292 nucleotides) under uncultured eukaryote. RNAcentral's name for it is "partial 18S ribosomal RNA". It matches the Rfam family "Eukaryotic small subunit ribosomal RNA", at positions 6 to 309 of the family's 1831-position model. The record is from RNAcentral.
GGUUGAUCCUGCCAGUUGUGAUAUGCUUGUCUCAAAGAUUAAGCCAUGCAUGUGUGAGUAUGGCGGAGUAGACUCCGCGAAACUGCGAAUGGCUCAAUAAAUCAGUGAUAGUUUCCUCGAUGGAUGCUUUGCUAUCGGAUACCCGUAGUAAAUCUAGAGCUAAUACGUAUGCACAAGACGGGUGUGAGCCCGUUGCGAGUAUGAGAAAUGGCCGGCCGCCUCGUGCGUCCCGUGUCGAAUCAUGAUAUUUGGCGAAUCGAUCCUCGUGAUCGAUGCAUCGACAAGAUUUCUG